UCUGGCUCAGAAUGAACGCUGGCGGCGUGCUUACACAUGCAAGUCGAACGAGAAAUCUUUAGCUUGCUAGAGAAAGUAAAGUGGCGCACGGGUGAGUAACGCGUGGGUAAUCUGCCUCCGAAUCGGGGAUAACAUUGCGAAAGCGAUGCUAAUACCGGAUAAAAUCUGGUUGGCUUCGGUGAACCGGAUCAAAGGUGGUCUCUUUAUAAAAGCUACCGUUUGGAGAUGAGCUCGCGUACCAUUAGCUAGUUGGUGAGGUAAAGGCUCACCAAGGCGACGAUGGUUAGCUGGUCUGAGAGGAUGAUCAGCCACACCGGAACUGGAACACGGUCCGGACUCCUACGGGAGGCAGCAGUGAGGAAUUUUGCGCAAUGGGGGAAACCCUGACGCAGCAACGCCGCGUGAGUGAUGAAGGCUUUCGGGUCGUAAAGCUCUGUCGGGUGGGAAGAACCCACCAAGUGUUAAGACCACUUGGUGCUGACGGUACCACCGAAGGAAGCACCGGCUAACUCCGUGCCAGCAGCCGCGGUAAUACGGGGGGUGCGAGCGUUAUUCGGAAUCAUUGGGCGUAAAGGGCGCGCAGGCGGUUUUGUAAGUCAGAUGUGAAAUCCCGGGGCUUAACCCCGGAAGUGCAUAUGAAACUAUGAGACUUGAGUAUGGGAGAGGGAAGCGGAAUUCCUGGUGUAGCGGUGAAAUGCGUAGAUAUCAGGAGGAACACCGGUGGCGAAGGCGGCUUCCUGGACCAAUACUGACGCUGAGGCGCGAAGGCGUGGGGAGCGAACAGGAUUAGAUACCCUGGUAGUCCACGCAGUAAACGUUGAUCACUAGGUGUAGCGGGUAUUGACCCCUGCUGUGCCGGAGUUAACGCAUUAAGUGAUCCGCCUGGGGAGUACGAUCGCAAGAUUAAAACUCAAAGGAAUUGACGGGGGCCCGCACAAGCGGUGGAGCAUGUGGUUUAAUUCGACGCAACGCGAAGAACCUUACCUGGACUUGAC
Molecule: ribosomal RNA, 995 nt
Filed under: uncultured organism
Description: bacterial SSU rRNA
Rfam family: Bacterial small subunit ribosomal RNA
Source: RNAcentral